GAUGAAGAACGUAGCGAAAUGCGAUAAGUAAUGUGAAUUGCAGAAUUCAGUGAAUCAUCGAAUCUUUGAACGCACAUUGCGCCCGCCAGUAUUCUGGCGGGCAUGCCUGUUCGAGCGUCAUUUCAACCAUCAAGCCCUGCUUGCGUUGGGGUCCUGCGGCUGCCCGCAGGCCCUGAAAACCAGUGGCGGGCUCGCUAGUCACACCGAGCGCAGUAAUACAUCUCGCUUUGGGCGUGCGGCGGGUUCUUGCCGUUAAACACCCCCUUUUUACCAAGGUUGACCUCGGAUCAGGAAGGAAUACCCGCUGAACUUAAGCAUAUCAAUAAGCGGAGGA
This 334-nucleotide unclassified non-coding RNA is filed under the name soil metagenome. RNAcentral describes it as "partial contains 5.8S ribosomal RNA, internal transcribed spacer 2, and large subunit ribosomal RNA". The stretch from base 1 to 120 matches the Rfam family "5.8S ribosomal RNA", at positions 35 to 154 of the family's 154-position model. The record is from RNAcentral.